AAGUCGUAACAAGGUUUUCCUUCCGGUUAAGUACCUAACUUACUGAAGCCUGACACAGCGACUCUAAACAAUUGUGGAGUUUGCCUCGCGAAGGUAAACAAUACCGCUGAAAUGCUGUGAUCACUUACCUGUGUGUACCAGCAGCCUGACAUUCCUGUCAGGCCCACAGAUCAAGUUGCGGUGGUCUAGUGUGUAAACCACAACUGGACUACAAUAUGACCGGUCUCGACCAUGACGGUUGAGAAUUCACGUUCCGUAGGUGAACCUGCGGAAGGAUCAUUACCGAGUUAGGGUCUUCUAGGCCCGAUCUCCAACCCUGUGUAUAAUUUACCAUGUUGCUUUGGCAGGCCCGUCUAACCGGACCGCCGGGAGAUUUUUAGAUCUUCUAGCCCGUGCCUGUCAGUGGCCCCCCCUCAAAUUUUGAUAAAAUGUGAAGUCUGAGUAAUAAAUUUAAUAGUUAUAAA
RNAcentral lists this unclassified non-coding RNA (464 nucleotides) under plant metagenome. RNAcentral describes it as "partial contains small subunit ribosomal RNA and internal transcribed spacer 1". The record is from RNAcentral.